Molecule: long non-coding RNA, 2146 nt
Organism: Gallus gallus (chicken)
Lineage: Eukaryota; Metazoa; Chordata; Aves; Galliformes; Phasianidae
Source: Ensembl
UGGGAAAAUGGAGGCUUUCCAUCAUUGCAGCGGUUUAUGGCACCCUGGCUGAGGUGGUAGUCAUUUGUUUUUUGUGAGUUCACUGGGGAGUGAGGUAGCCUUCAGCAAUGUAUAAUGCAUAAUUAAGUCAAUAUAUCGUCACUUUGAGAUUUGGCAGAGAGAAAAAGUUGGUAUCCUUUACUGACUUCGUUAGGAGCAGUACAGAACUAUGACCCACGAGUUUAUGUUUGAAAUAUAGAAAGGUUUAUUAGUAUGUGGCUGAGGUCUUUCUUGCUAGGGAUGAGACUGAGGUUUCAGAAACUGACAUUGUCCUUUCCUCUUAGAAAAGAGAAGACUGAGAUUAUGAAGGCAGCAGUUUAAGCAUAUUUGUUGCAACAAAAGUUGUUGAAAAGUGAGUUGUUUAUGACAAGUACAUACAAAAGCAUGAAGUUGUAUCUGUUGCCUUUAUUCUGAAAUAUUUCAGAAUAGAAAAACUAUCUUGUGAAAAGUUUACAGACUACGUCUGUACUGUAUACAUGCUUGUCACCUAGCAUGUGUCCUUACGUACUAAAAGCCAUAACUAUUAAGUGGCUAGAAUGUUAAUUUCUGCAAAAUCCAGGAUUACUUCUUAUUUCUCAUCUGCCAGCACUGCUUAUUUCUGUCACUUUGUUGCUCACUGGCCAUGUUGUUAAAUGUGAAGCGGCAGAUGGAGGUACAUCGUAACAUGGUGUAUCUGAAAUCAGAGGUUAUGCCUACUAUGUGCUGUGUAGAUGGGAACCUGUGGUUGUAUUUCAUGGUUUGCCAUUAAAUUCAGUUUUAAAACAGUGGGGAAAGAUGCAAAAGCACGAACAGUUACAAGCAAAUAUUGCUGUUCCUGUUGUUUUGUAAGAUUACAUGCAUCAAGUGUUUAUUUCCACAUAGGAAGAAGCAUUUCAAGAAAAUUGUCCUGUUAGGCUGUCAGAGGAAUUGCUGUCCUAAGUAGAGUUAAAUGUCAACUGCGUUUCAAACCCCAAUCUUCACUGUUUUGUUUUGUUUAGGCAAAUAUAAAGCCACUGUCAUUCCUCCUGUCUGUGUAUCUACUGUUGUAACUCAUGUGAGAGGAAUAAACCAGCGCUCCCUAUUUCUUUAGUUAUUUAUUUAUUUGCUGUGGAUCAGAAAGGGCCAACCUGCUGUAAGUAACACUUGCAUUUUAUUUGUGCUGCUUGAUUGCUUAUAAUGGAAAAAAUGCCUAGAGGCCUAAAGUACAUUAAAGUGUUGCUUUGUUCAAAACGACACUGCAGCAUCUAGAAGAAAUAAUUGAACAAAGUUACACACUUCAGUUUUUUCCAUGUCUGAACGUCAUGCAUCAGUUCAUGAGCAGUGUCUAGAUGAAGUGAUUACAAAAUGUGAAAGGCAAGAUUAUUGCUGGACUAGCCAUUAUAAAAAUAAGGAUGAGGAGUAAUCUUUGUGCUUCUUUGUGGCAGAUGUCUAAUAGUGUUUUCUCCAGUGCAGCUGUAGUUAUUAUAGAGGGUGGCCAGCAAGAAUACUCUAUUAAUAAACUCAAAAUGAGAUUCUGUCCAUCUCAGUCGUCAGUGCCCAGAUUAUAAUCUGUUCCAUAUUGGUAAAUAUAGAAAAAUAAGCAGACAAAACCCACCCAUGUACUUCUUCCACUGUAGCUAAAAUCCUGGCUUUCUCUCAUUUGGAGGCGUACCUUUUAUGCAGGUACGGGGGGGCAAAUUAUCCAUUUUGAGUUACAAAACAUAUAUUCUCAUUCAUCUGUCUAAUGUGUGAGGCUGACUUCACAGAAUUCUUCUAUCUGUGUUUGUUAUUACUGAUAUCAGCCUAAGGAUAGACCUGCAUAUUGAUUUACACAGACCUAAUAUUAUUUUUCUUAAAUAUCUUCUGGUACUUUUCAGUGAGAUCUUCUGAGAGACCCCCGUCUCUUCAAAAUGCCAAGAGAAGGAGAUUAGACACCAGCAACAAUACAUCUGUGCAGAGUUGAUGAGUUACUUCACAUAUGGGCUAUUCAAAUAAAAAUAUGGUUGGUGAGUAAUUCACAUGUAUGCUUAUAUUUAAGUUGAUACUUGCUUAAUGUACACAACUGAUAUUUUUAGAUGAGAAGUUGCAUUAAGAAUGAAAUGUUCUGCCUCCUAGUGGUCCUAGUCUGCAAGACAUGGAAACAGUGGUC